Molecule: non-coding RNA, 378 nt
Organism: Myodes glareolus (Bank vole)
Lineage: Eukaryota; Metazoa; Chordata; Mammalia; Rodentia; Cricetidae
Source: RefSeq, a predicted model, not a curated record
AUUUCCUGUUGCCUUCUGAUCAAGAUGUAGCCAGCACCAUGUCUGCCUGCAUGCUGCCAUGCUCCACAUCUUGAUGACAGUGGACCAAACUUCUGAACUAAGGAAGACGGGAAGAAAACCAGGCAAAUUAAGCCCCCAACGCACACUGUAAUUUUCUAUCUCUGGACGGAUUUGCGAGAGCAUGGCUGAGUGAAGUUAGCAGAGCAUCGCCCCCCACACAAAGAUGGCGCGAGCAGAAUUUGUGAAAGCGGGUAGGAAGAGGAAGGACCAGCAAGAGAGGACGAGCUGCAGUGCUGGGGAGCAGCUGGAGUCCAGAAAUGAUUUUUUUUCGACGAAUUUAGGAUUUUGCCGCAGUGUCCAUCUGCAGUCCCAGAAUCC